UGUAGAGCAGACUGGAUUCUCU
This 22-nucleotide microRNA is filed under the name Oreochromis niloticus (Nile tilapia). RNAcentral's name for it is "oni-miR-10576". The record is from miRBase by way of RNAcentral. Lineage: Eukaryota; Metazoa; Chordata; Actinopteri; Cichliformes; Cichlidae.